Molecule: ribosomal RNA, 253 nt
Filed under: uncultured bacterium
Lineage: Bacteria
Description: partial 16S ribosomal RNA
Rfam family: Bacterial small subunit ribosomal RNA
Source: RNAcentral
UACGUAGGGGGCUAGCGUUGUCCGGAAUCAUUGGGCGUAAAGCGCGUGUAGGCGGCCCGGUAAGUCCGCUGUGAAAGUCGGGGGCUCAACCCUCGAAUGCCGGUGGAUACUGUCGGGCUAGAGUGCGGAAGAGGCGAGUGGAAUUCCUGGUGUAGCGGUGGAAUGCGCAGAUAUCAGGAGGAACACCGAUGGCGAAGGCAGCUCGCUGGGACGGUACUGACGCUGAGGCGCGAAAGCGUGGGGAGCGAACAGG